This 99-nucleotide microRNA precursor is filed under the name Sus scrofa (pig). Its description in RNAcentral is "mir-544 microRNA precursor family". It matches the Rfam family "mir-544 microRNA precursor family". Lineage: Eukaryota; Metazoa; Chordata; Mammalia; Artiodactyla; Suidae. The record is from Rfam by way of RNAcentral.
AUCACCUGGGGAUCUUGUUAAAAGUGCAGAUUCUGAUUCAGUAAAUCUGGAUUGGGGCCCAAGAUUCUGCACUUCUAACAAGCUCCCAGAUGAUGCUAA